This 448-nucleotide ribosomal RNA is filed under the name Trinemura cundalinae. RNAcentral's name for it is "partial 28S ribosomal RNA". It matches the Rfam family "Eukaryotic large subunit ribosomal RNA", at positions 2421 to 2826 of the family's 3401-position model. Lineage: Eukaryota; Metazoa; Arthropoda; Insecta; Zygentoma; Nicoletiidae. The record is from RNAcentral.
CUUGACUCUAGUCUGGUACUGUAGGGAGACGUGAGAGGUGUAGCAUAAGUGGGAGAGUGCUGCCUUCUGGUGGCUCUUCGCCGGUGAAAUACCACUACUCUCAUGGUUUCCCUACUCACUCGGUGAGGCGUCUUGCGCCCUUGCCUUCGAGGUAAGGUGCGUGGUUCUCGCCUUGAUAGGGGACUCGGGUUUUAAUCCUCGACCCCUUGUGGACGAUCCGAGGACAGUGCCAGGUGGGGAGUUUGACUGGGGCGGUACAUCCAUCAAACGAUAACGUGGGUGUCCUAAGGCCAGCUCAGCGAGGACAGAAACCUCGCGCGGAGCAAAAGGGCAAAAGCUGGCUUGAUCCCGUCGUUCAGUACCCGAGGGGACUGCGAAAGCACGGCCUAUCGAUCCUUUUGGCGCGGAGAGUUUCCGGCGAGAGGUGUCAGAAAAGUUACCACAGGGA